Molecule: non-coding RNA, 99 nt
Filed under: Bacteroidota bacterium
Lineage: Bacteria; Pseudomonadati; Bacteroidota
Description: Bacteroidetes bacterium SAM-I sequence
Rfam family: SAM riboswitch aptamer (S box leader)
About the family: The SAM riboswitch is found upstream of a number of genes which code for proteins involved in methionine or cysteine biosynthesis in Gram-positive bacteria. The SAM riboswitch acts at the level of transcription termination control. The predicted structure consists of a complex stem-loop region followed by a single stem loop terminator region.
Source: RNAcentral
CGCUUAUCAAGAAAGACAGAGGGAUAUGGCCCUGUGAAGUCUUAGCAACCAUUUCGAUAUGAAAAAGGUGCUACAUCCAGCCGAAAGGAAAGAUAAGUC